GAGCACCAGUGGAGCUACCUGAUCCUCGAGACCUCUUGUCCUGCCUCUCCUCUCUCUCCUAACGACGAGCCAUCUCAAUAUCACGAUCUACAUCCAUUGCCUUCUCAAAGGUAUGGCUCAGAACCCUCUCUCGAGUCAUCAAAUACGGAUAGGAUAAAUGAGUCCUUCCACAAACCGUCUAUCCUCUCCUAAUCCGUCGGAACCAUCCACAGAGCAUAACGAGCUAACUUAGAGACUCUCACCUCAUACUGUGUCACAGACAUAUCCCCCUGACGUAGCCACUCAAACUGCCUGCGCAACUCCUCCAUCUGGGAUCGUGGUACCCACUUCUCUAGAAAGAUAGUGGAGAACUCCUACAAAGCCAACGAUGCUGGACCUACCCGCCUACGCCGCUCAUAUGCCUCCCACCAUGUAAAGGCUGCUCCUGAGAACUAAUAAGUGGUGAAAGAUACCCCGCUCGUCUCUAAGAUCCCUGUUGUCCGAAGCAUACAUCGACACUUGUCGAGAAACCCCUGGGCAUCCUCACUCAGAAUACCGCUAAAAGUAGGGGGUAAAAGCGUGCUGAACCUCUCAAGAUGAUGCUACUCAUCAUCUUGCAUUACUGGUACCCCAUCACCCUAAAAUGGAAGCUGCGGGG
This 637-nucleotide long non-coding RNA is filed under the name Nicotiana benthamiana. Its description in RNAcentral is "long non-coding RNA (NBEN_LNC017489)". Lineage: Eukaryota; Viridiplantae; Streptophyta; Magnoliopsida; Solanales; Solanaceae. The record is from RNAcentral.